Molecule: ribosomal RNA, 531 nt
Filed under: uncultured bacterium
Lineage: Bacteria
Description: bacterial SSU rRNA
Rfam family: Bacterial small subunit ribosomal RNA
Source: RNAcentral
CAAGGAAUUUUCCGCAAUGGGCGCAAGCCUGACGGAGCAACGUCGCGUGGAGGAAGACGGCUUUCGGGUUGUAAACUCCUUUUGGGUGGGACGAUUGUGACGGUACCACCCGAAUAAGCCCCGGCUAACUCUGUGCCAGCAGCCGCGGUAAUACAGAGGGGGCAAGCGUUGUCCGGACUUACUGGGCGUAAAGGGUGCGCAGGCGGUUUGGUGCGUCCACGCUGAAAUCAUACGGGCUUAACCGUGUGGCGCGUGUGGAUACGACCAAACUUGAGGCUCUGAGAGGGUAGUGGAACUCCUGGUGUAGUGGUGAAAUGCGUAGAGAUCAGGAAGAACACCUGUGGCGCAAGCGACUACCUGGCAGAGACCUGACGCUGAGGCACGAAAGCGUGGGGAGUGAACCGGAUUAGAUACCCGGGUAAUCCACGCCGUAAACGAUGUCGACUCGGGGUGUGGUUGUCUUACGACGACUGCGUCCCCAAGCUCACGCGGAAGUCGACCGCCUGGGGACUACGAGCGCAAGCUUAAAAC